RNAcentral lists this non-coding RNA (24 nucleotides) under Arabidopsis thaliana (thale cress). Lineage: Eukaryota; Viridiplantae; Streptophyta; Magnoliopsida; Brassicales; Brassicaceae. The record is from RNAcentral.
AUGAUUUUGCUUCAGCUUCUUCGA